GUUGGAAAUUAGCAGCGAGGUCACAUUGUGAAUGUGCUUUCCCGGAUGGGCGAUCUAUGUACGGCGUGUACAUCUGAUGCUCAGCAACCACUCAACGGCGAUCCUCGUGAGCUUUCUUAACAAUAGCCAAUUUAGAAUGAGGAUCAGCCACAGCUAGAUCUUUGUAUGGCGCUUCACGGGUGCCGUGCAACAAUAGAUCCCAUUCCUUGAUGAAGCCAGUCUGUGUGUUUGGGCUGUUGAAUUUGAUUUCCAGCUUCCAGCGCCCCCGUGGAUUUUCACCCCACGUAUGAGUUGUCUACGUAAUAUUAAAAACGAUGAGCGAAUAUUAUUUCGAUAACGCUAUGACCUUUUAAAUGGUCAGUUGGGCCGUUGGAGCAAUCCAUAUUAUCCAAAGAAAUAUCGAAAACUUUACAAAAUGAAAGUAUGUACCAUAAAUGGCCAUUUGGCAAAUCCGUCCGUGUGAUCGUCAUCGUUCGGUCUGCGACUGAGGAUCAUCGACCUUGAUGCAUUAUCACUUCACCCCGUCUGGAGCUAUUCAGCGUAAUGACAGCCUGCACAUGCUCCAGAUAGUCGACUUGGUUUUCCGUGCCCCGACAGGCGUGGGUAUCGAUGAAGAGCGUCAGGGAUCCGUUGACCCACACCGUUCAUCUGCCACUUGAAAUAGCCUUUGCCAUCAUACAGCGAGUUCCGCUUUGACGUCAACACAGUGAGAUGUUGGAUGUCCCGCCAGGUGCCGCAGUAAUAAAACCUUACUUGACUUCGAGAGCCAAAGCAAAAACACCAGCUGCUUCCGGUGCCGCUGCGGAAGUGCCGGAAUGGGUCUUGGUGCAGCGGCCAUAGAGAUCGGUUGUGGCGACACCGGUCUUCGGGUCACCUCCGCCGUUGCUGAACGUCGACGCUAAGGUGGAUGUGCAGGAUUCGUCGUAAUGGGCAUUUUGCCCAUUAUUAAUAGCUGAAUUAAUAGAGAUGGUCCACAUGCUGGCAGCAUAUCCGUCACAAUUACAAUCAUCAUCUUCGCCGCCAUCGCCAGAGGCCCACACAUAAAUGUUACCCAGCCCGUUCCUUCCCUGCAAAAGCCGACUUGUGAUGUACAGUUAAUUAAUUCCCCAAAAUAAGUCGUAAAAAAAGAGCUUUGCGAUAAUUUCGUUUGGCUUGAUAACAAUUAAAUGGAAACAUAAAUAACUUUGUAUUAGUGAUUUAUAUUGUCUAUCGCGAACUUUUGGUGGAGAAUAAUGAUCGCGUAUGAUGGUACGCAAGGAGGGUGA
This is a long non-coding RNA of Paramacrobiotus metropolitanus, 1265 nucleotides long. RefSeq lists it as uncharacterized. The transcript is spliced from 4 exons. Lineage: Eukaryota; Metazoa; Tardigrada; Eutardigrada; Parachela; Macrobiotidae. The record is from RefSeq and is a predicted model, not a curated record.